Brachypodium distachyon (stiff brome) is the source of this 136-nucleotide non-coding RNA. Lineage: Eukaryota; Viridiplantae; Streptophyta; Magnoliopsida; Poales; Poaceae. The record is from Rfam.
GAUCUACUCCCUCCGAUCCAUAUUACUUGUCGCAGUUUUGUCUAUAUACGCAUAUAUCUUAAAGCGUUUCAUUGUGUUGGUACAUGCUUAUCUAGAGAAAACUGUGACAAGUAAUAUGGAUCGGAAGGAGUGCUUA